RNAcentral lists this transfer RNA (74 nucleotides) under Rhodopirellula sp. RNAcentral's name for it is "tRNA-Ile". It matches the Rfam family "tRNA". From Rfam's summary of the family: Transfer RNA (tRNA) molecules are approximately 80 nucleotides in length. Their secondary structure includes four short double-helical elements and three loops (D, anti-codon, and T loops). Lineage: Bacteria; Pseudomonadati; Planctomycetota; Planctomycetia; Pirellulales; Pirellulaceae. The record is from RNAcentral. RNAcentral also lists the same sequence under 5 other names.
GGGCGCAUAGCUCAGUUGGUUAGAGCGCGUCCCUGAUAAGGACGAGGUCUGCAGUUCGAGUCUGCGUGCGCCCA